AGCACUUAUCUCCAAAGACCAUGAAUCUUCGCCCCUUCUAACUGCAGAGACAGGAAGCCUGUUAGCCACCACCAGCAGCCGUUGCCUUAAAGGCCUGCCAUCCUGAUUUUCACAUCCCUCAGCUAGCGUCCUCGUAGCUGCAAUAGCUCCCUCAAGGUAUUGCUCAAUAUAGGAAUUGUUUGAGUGGUCACCUUCUCUCAAGCGCAAAUCAUGUUCACUUGGUUCAAUCCCCCUAUGAUUAUCAGUAACCUCAUUUGAAUAGGAAGCCCUGCUGCUUUUCUUUAGCUCUCUUUCUCUCAAAAGCCGUUGCGUACGACUUGGGUACGGGGUUGAGUUACCGUUGUACUGG
Molecule: unclassified non-coding RNA, 349 nt
Filed under: Hevea brasiliensis (rubber tree)
Lineage: Eukaryota; Viridiplantae; Streptophyta; Magnoliopsida; Malpighiales; Euphorbiaceae
Source: RNAcentral